Molecule: transfer RNA, 85 nt
Filed under: Candidatus Omnitrophota bacterium
Lineage: Bacteria; Pseudomonadati; Candidatus Omnitrophota
Description: tRNA-Leu
Rfam family: tRNA
About the family: Transfer RNA (tRNA) molecules are approximately 80 nucleotides in length. Their secondary structure includes four short double-helical elements and three loops (D, anti-codon, and T loops). Further hydrogen bonds mediate the characteristic L-shaped molecular structure. tRNAs have two regions of fundamental functional importance: the anti-codon, which is responsible for specific mRNA codon recognition, and the 3' end, to which the tRNAs corresponding amino acid is attached (by aminoacyl-tRNA synthetases). tRNAs cope with the degeneracy of the genetic code in two manners: having more than one tRNA (with a specific anti-codon) for a particular amino acid; and 'wobble' base-pairing, i.e. permitting non-standard base-pairing at the 3rd anti-codon position.
Source: RNAcentral
GCGCGGAUGGCGGAAUUGGCAGACGCGAUAGCCUUAGGAGCUAUUGGGGAAACCCGUGGAGGUUCAAGCCCUCUUCCGCGCACCA